GAUGAACGCUGGCGGCGUGCCUAAUACAUGCAAGUCGAGCGAACGGACGAGAAGCUUGCUUCUCUGAUGUUAGCGGCGGACGGGUGAGUAACACGUGGAUAACCUACCUAUAAGACUGGGAUAACUUCGGGAAACCGGAGCUAAUACCGGAUGAUAUUUUGAACCGCGUGGUUCAAAAGUGAAAGACGGUCUUGCUGUCACUUAUAGAUGGAUCCGCGCUGCAUUAGCUAGUUGGUAAGGUAACGGCUUACCAAGGCAACGAUGCAUAGCCGACCUGAGAGGGCGAUCGGCCACACUGGAACUGAGACACGGUCCAGACUCCUACGGGAGGCAGCAGUAGGGAAUCUUCCGCAAUGGGCGAAAGCCUGACGGAGCAACGCCGCGUGAGUGAUGAAGGUCUUCGGAUCGUAAAACUCUGUUAUUAGGGAAGAACAUAUGUGUAAGUAACUGUGCACAUCUUGACGGUACCUAAUCAGAAAGCCACGGCUAACUACGUG
This 497-nucleotide ribosomal RNA is filed under the name uncultured bacterium. RNAcentral's name for it is "partial 16S ribosomal RNA". It matches the Rfam family "Bacterial small subunit ribosomal RNA", at positions 28 to 507 of the family's 1533-position model. The record is from RNAcentral.